Non-coding RNA from Acanthosepion pharaonis, 99 nucleotides. The record is from the annotation of a GenBank genome assembly. Lineage: Eukaryota; Metazoa; Mollusca; Cephalopoda; Sepiida; Sepiidae.
AUUGAAGCACCAGUUCCUGUAUGAUCACCAAAGUUAAGCAAAGAUGAGUGUGAUCAAUACCUAGAUUGGUGACCACUUGGGAAUACUAGGUGCUGUAAG